RNAcentral lists this long non-coding RNA (2243 nucleotides) under Equus caballus (horse). Its description in RNAcentral is "lncRNA (ENSECAG00000058361.1)". The record is from RNAcentral. Lineage: Eukaryota; Metazoa; Chordata; Mammalia; Perissodactyla; Equidae.
UCUUAAGCCUGUUAAUGCUAGUUGUACUCGUUAUUGCAAUUACGUAUUUGAAAAAAUUAUGUGAAUUGAUGAAAUAAGAAGGUAAAGAGUUGUUUCUAUGAAAAUUUUGUGGAAUGCUUCUGAAAAACUGAAAGACAAGCAGCUAAAAAUACUUGGAUAAAUGAGAUGUGGAUGAGACAACUGUAGGAAAAGAAAGAAAGAAAGAAAGAAAUUAGUAUACACAUUCAGAGGGUUCUGUGCUCAGUUUGCCUUACCGUAUACUGUGAAACUGAAGCUAUAUUAAUACACUCUCGUAAGGAGACAGGUCGAGUCAGCCCUGAUGGCCUAGUGGUUAAAGUUUGAUGCUCUUACCCCUUCGGUGGCCAGGUUUCCUUUCCUAGUCACGGAACCACACCACCUGUCAGUUGCCAUGCUGUGGCCACAGCUCAUGUAGAAGAUCUGGAAGGACUUACACCUAGGAUAUACAACCAUGCACUGGGGGUUUGGGGAGGAAAAUAAAAAAAGAGAGGCACGUUGAGUUGACACCUGCAAUCAGGGCUAUUACUUGAUUGGGCUUGCAGUAGUCUAUGGUCAUUCUCCAGGAUUCAUCCAAUUUUUGCAGGGGGCAGACAGGUAAAUUAAAUGGAGGUAUGAUAGGGACCAUGUAUUAGGGUUCUUCAGAGAAACAGAACCAAUAGGAUAUAUGUAAAAAUAGAUUUAUUAUAAGGAACUGGCUCAUUCAAUUAUAGAGGCUGAGAAGUCCCAAGAUCUAUGGUCAGUAAGCUGGAGACCCAGGAGAGCUGAUAGUAUAGUUCCAGUCCAUGGCUCAAUCCAAAGGCAGGAGAAGACUGAUGUCCCGACUCAAAGACAGUCAGGCAGAGAGAGCAAAUCUCCCUUACUCAACCUUUUUGUUUAUGCAGGCCUUCAAUAGAUUGGAUGAGGCCCACCCACAUUGAGGGGGGUAGUCUGCUCAGUCUACCGAUUCAAAUGUUAAUCUCAUCCAGAAACACCCUCACAGACACACCCAUAACAUUUAACCAAAUAUCUAGGCACCCUGAGGCCCAGUCAAGUUGACACAUAAAAUUAACCAUCACAGAACUCCACCCAGACACCCCUGUGAUCUUUAUGAGUGGCACUAAUCUCUCCUAUUCACACCCAAAAUAUGAUAUAUUGCUUUUGGUUUAUUUUGUCUCAAGUGGGCUGAGUAUCAGUUUCCAAGACUUCUCUUUGGCCUUCCCCACUGUAACAGCUCUCAUUUCAGGAACUAAAACCCAAUCUGGGGAUUACUCCUGCUGCCAAGUAUGUUAAUCACAAUCGUAACUUAAGCGACUGAGGAAAUGACCACUAGCUGUUGCCAUGGACCCAGAGUACCUGCUCUGAGCCAGGAUUUGGCCAGGACUACAUCUGGCCUCUGUAUGUUCCUACUCUUAAUGGGGAGGCCAAGAUGAUACUCUGGGUUUCUGAGUAUUAAUGUUAAUUUAGACCCUAUGUCUAAUGUUCCCUGAAAUGUCUAGAUACUCCCCUUUUCUCAGUGUAUAGUCACCUGAGAAAAGGGCAUAGUACCCUUUGGGAAAAGACUAGAAGAAUCAUUACAAUAUAUACUUGCCCUAAUGUUGUGGGGUCCUUUCCUCCAGGACUUGGCCACGUCUACAGUCAAUGGGUUCUGGGUCUGAAAAUUGGCUCAGAUCUGGGAACUGGACAAGGGAUCAUGACACUUUUUAUUGUAGUGACCUCCCUCGGUCUCCUUAGCCACUCUUGUUUUCUUUGAUUACAUAUAUUAGGCAGUACCCUUGUUGCCUGCCCAUCUAUUUGUCCCCUGGGGACACUGGGUUCUUUAAAACAUCUCCACUUCUCUUUCUAGGUCAAGCUCCAUUGGUUUUCACUCUGAUUUUGCCAGUCAUUAUAAUAAUUGUGACUACUCUGACUUCUGGCAUUAAAUUCUACCUCCUGGAUCUACUGUACUUCUGGACCCCAUCAUUCCCACUGCUAUUAACAAGCCAACCCUCUGUGAUAGCAUCUCCUGAGCCCUGGCCCUCAAAGGUAAGUACAGAGAGAAGACCUUGUGAAGCCUGAGGGAGAAGAUGGCCAUCAACAAGCCAAGGAGAGAGGCCUCAGAAGAAAUCAACCCUGUUGACACCUUGAUCUUGGGCUUCUAGCAUCACAGAACUCUGAAAAAAUAAAUUUCUGUUGUCUAAGCCACCUGGUCUGUGGUACUUUACUAUGGCAGACCUAGAAAACUAAUAUAGCAAGUGACCCAAGAAAGC